UACGGGGGGAGCAAGCGUUGUUCGGAUUUACUGGGCGUAAAGGGCGCGUAGGCGGCACCGCAAGUCGACUGUGAAAUCUCCGGGCUUAACUCGGAAAGGUCAGCCGAUACUGCGGGGCUAGAGUGCAGAAGGGGCAACUGGAAUUCUCGGUGUAGCGGUGAAAUUCGUAGAUAUUCGCAGGAACACCAGUGGCGAAGGCGGCUUACUGGUCCAUUACUGACGCUGAGGUGCGAAAGCGUGGGGAGCAAACAGG
RNAcentral lists this ribosomal RNA (253 nucleotides) under uncultured bacterium. RNAcentral describes it as "partial 16S ribosomal RNA". It matches the Rfam family "Bacterial small subunit ribosomal RNA", at positions 524 to 776 of the family's 1533-position model. The record is from RNAcentral.